This 336-nucleotide ribosomal RNA is filed under the name Triticum aestivum (bread wheat). Its description in RNAcentral is "partial small subunit ribosomal RNA". Lineage: Eukaryota; Viridiplantae; Streptophyta; Magnoliopsida; Poales; Poaceae. The record is from RNAcentral.
AUGGGGAAGCACGGUUGGAAGCCCAUGUCGCAGGGUAAGGAGGAGCAUCAGUGGGCAAGUCAUAUAGCCGGGAAGGAGCUUUCAGCAAUUGUGGUUGCCACUGGGCCUGCUCGCCAGUGUCAUGGCAUGCGCAAUGGUGAUUGCAUUAGUGCUGCUCGCCUCGACCAAGUUGAGAAGACCUCCUCCAGCUGGCUUCUCUAUGACCCUGACCAACGCUGCCCAGCCAGGGGGGCGGGGGUGAGGACAACCAAGCGCGGUAGUGCUGCAAAAGAAGUUCAGAAGUGUGAUAUAAUAACGAUGAAAAGAUAUCUCUUACUGAUAUUCGUGCUUGCAUAG